GUCAGGUAACCAGGAACCGUACCCCAAACCGACACAGGUGGUUGGGUAGAGAAUACCAAGGCGCUUGAGAGAACUCGGGUGAAGGAACUAGGCAAAAUGGCACCGUAACUUCGGGAGAAGGUGCGCCGGUGAGGGUGAAGGACUUGCUCCGUAAGCUCAUGCCGGUCGAAGAUACCAGGCCGCUGCGACUGUUUAUUAAAAACACAGCACUCUGCAAACACGAAAGUGGACGUAUAGGGUGUGACGCCUGCCCGGUGCCGGAAGGUUAAUUGAUGGGGUUAGCUAACGCGAAGCUCUUGAUCGAAGCCCCGGUAAACGGCGGCCGUAACUAUAACGGUCCUAAGGUAGCGAAAUUCCUUGUCGGGUAAGUUCCGACCUGCACGAAUGGCGUAACGAUGGCGGCGCUGUCUCCACCCGAGACUCAGUGAAAUUGAAAUCGCUGUGAGGAUGCAGUGUAUCCGCGGCUAGACGGAAAGACCCCGUGAACCUUUACUAUAGCUUUGCACUGGACUUUGAAUUUGCUUGUGUAGGAUAGGUGGGAGGCUUUGAAGUGUGGACGCCAGUCUGCAUGGAGCCAACCUUGAAAUACCACCCUGGCAACUUUGAGGUUCUAACUCAGGCCCGUUAUCCGGAUCGAGGACAGUGUAUGGUGGGUAGUUUGACUGGGGCGGUCUCCUCCUAAAGAGUAACGGAGGAGUACGAAGGUGCGCUCAGACCGGUCGGAAAUCGGUCGUAGAGUAUAAAGGCAAAAGCGCGCUUGACUGCGAGACAGACACGUCGAGCAGGUACGAAAGUAGGUCUUAGUGAUCCGGUGGUUCUGUAUGGAAGGGCCAUCGCUCAACGGAUAAAAGGUACUCCGGGGAUAACAGGCUGAUACCGCCCAAGAGUUCAUAUCGACGGCGGUGUUUGGCACCUCGAUGUCGGCUCAUCACAUCCUGGGGCUGAAGCCGGUCCCAAGGGUAUGGCUGUUCGCCAUUUAAAGUGGUACGCGAGCUGGGUUUAGAACGUCGUGAGACAGUUCGGUCCCUAUCUGCCGUGGACGUUUGAGAUUUGAGAGGGGCUGCUCCUAGUACGAGAGGACCGGAGUGGACGAACCUCUGGUGUUCCGGUUGUCACGCCAGUGGCAUUGCCGGGUAGCUAUGUUCGGAAUAGAUAACCGCUGAAAGCAUCUAAGCGGGAAACUAGCCUCAAGAUGAGAUCUCACUGGAACCUUGAGUUCCCUGAAGGGCCGUCGAAGACUACGACGUUGAUAGGUUGGGUGUGUAAGCGCUGUGAGGCGUUGAGCUAACCAAUACUAAUUGCCCGUGAGGCUUGACC
RNAcentral lists this ribosomal RNA (1317 nucleotides) under metagenome. RNAcentral's name for it is "bacterial LSU rRNA". It matches the Rfam family "Bacterial large subunit ribosomal RNA", at positions 1626 to 2925 of the family's 2925-position model. The record is from RNAcentral.